Yamadazyma jaroonii is the source of this 80-nucleotide non-coding RNA. NCBI's taxonomy places the organism in Eukaryota, Fungi, Ascomycota, Pichiomycetes, Serinales, Debaryomycetaceae. The record is from the annotation of a GenBank genome assembly.
GGAUAACUCGGUAUUGGUAAGCCAACCUACUUGCUAUGUAGCUGUUUUUAACUGUCAGCGUUCGAUUCGCUGGUUAUCCG